This 497-nucleotide ribosomal RNA is filed under the name uncultured bacterium. Its description in RNAcentral is "partial 16S ribosomal RNA". It matches the Rfam family "Bacterial small subunit ribosomal RNA", at positions 28 to 507 of the family's 1533-position model. The record is from RNAcentral.
GAUGAACGCUGGCGGCGUGCCUAAUACAUGCAAGUCGAGCGAACGGACGAGAAGCUUGCUUCUCUGAUGUUAGCGGCGGACGGGUGAGUAACACGUGGAUAACCUACCUAUAAGACUGGGAUAACUUCGGGAAACCGGAGCUAAUACCGGAUAAUAUUUUGAACCGCAUGGUUCAAAAGUAAAAGACGGUCUUGCUGUCACUUAUAGAUGGAUCCGCGCUGCAUUAGCUAGUUGGUAAGGUAACGGCUUACCAAGGCAACGAUGCAUAGCCGACCUGAGAGGGUGAUCGGCCACACUGGAACUGAGACACGGUCCAGACUCCUACGGGAGGCAGCAGUAGGGAAUCUUCCGCAAUGGGCGAAAGCCUGACGGAGCAACGCCGCGUGAGUGAUGAAGGUCUUCGGAUCGUAAAACUCUGUUAUUAGGGAAGAACAUAUGUGUAAGUAACUGUGCACAUCUUGACGGUACCUAAUCAGAGAGCCACGGCUAACUACGUG